RNAcentral lists this ribosomal RNA (563 nucleotides) under uncultured Glomeromycotina. RNAcentral describes it as "SSU rRNA". It matches the Rfam family "Eukaryotic small subunit ribosomal RNA", at positions 548 to 1114 of the family's 1831-position model. The record is from RNAcentral. Lineage: Eukaryota; Fungi; Glomeromycota.
UUGGAGGGCAAGUCUGGUGCCAGCAGCCGCGGUAAUUCCAGCUCCAAUAGCGUAUAUUAAAGUUGUUGCAGUUAAAAAGCUCGUAGUUGAAUUUCGGGGUUAGUAGGUUGGUCAUGCCACUGGUAUGUACUGGUCUCACUGAUUCCUCCUUCCUGAUGAGCCGUAAUGCCAUUAAUUUGGUGUUGCGAGGAAUCUGGACUGUUACUUUGAAAAAAUUAGAGUGUUUAAAGCAAGCUAACGCUUGAAUACAUUAGCAUGGAAUAAUGAAAUAGGACGUUCGAUCCUAUUUUGUUGGUUUCUAGGAUUGACGUGAUGAUUAAUAGGGAUAGUUGGGGGCAUUAGUAUUCAAUUGUCAGAGGUGAAAUUCUUGGAUUUAUUGAAGACUAACUACUGCGAAAGCAUUUGCCAAGGAUGUUUUCAUUAAUCAAGAACGAAAGUUAGGGGAUCGAAGACGAUCAGAUACCGUCGUAGUCUUAACCAUAAACUAUGCCGACCAGGGAUCGGAUGAUGUUAUUUUUAAUGACUCAUUCGGCGCCUUACGGGAAACCAAAGUGUUUGGGUUC